This 253-nucleotide ribosomal RNA is filed under the name uncultured bacterium. RNAcentral's name for it is "partial 16S ribosomal RNA". It matches the Rfam family "Bacterial small subunit ribosomal RNA", at positions 524 to 776 of the family's 1533-position model. The record is from RNAcentral.
UACGAAGGGGGCUAGCGUUGUUCGGAAUUACUGGGCGUAAAGCGUGCGCAGGCGGCUUCUCAAGUCAGGGGUGAAAGCCCAGAGCUCAACUCUGGAAUUGCCUUUGAGACUGAGUGGCUUGAGUACGAGAGAGGUGAGUGGAAUUCCCAGUGUAGAGGUGAAAUUCGUAGAUAUUGGGAAGAACACCGGUGGCGAAGGCGGCAUCCUGGACCGGCAUUGACGCUGAGGAGCGAAAGCCAGGGGAGCAAACGGG